This 75-nucleotide transfer RNA is filed under the name Parvularcula lutaonensis. RNAcentral's name for it is "tRNA-Val". It matches the Rfam family "tRNA". Rfam says of the family: Transfer RNA (tRNA) molecules are approximately 80 nucleotides in length. Their secondary structure includes four short double-helical elements and three loops (D, anti-codon, and T loops). The record is from RNAcentral. RNAcentral also lists the same sequence under 1 other name. Lineage: Bacteria; Pseudomonadati; Pseudomonadota; Alphaproteobacteria; Parvularculales; Parvularculaceae.
GGUCGCGUAGCUCAGCGGUAGAGCACUCGCUUCACACGCGAGUGGUCACUGGUUCGAUCCCAGUCGCGACCACCA